This 201-nucleotide ribosomal RNA is filed under the name uncultured bacterium. RNAcentral's name for it is "partial 16S ribosomal RNA". It matches the Rfam family "Bacterial small subunit ribosomal RNA", at positions 1300 to 1500 of the family's 1533-position model. The record is from RNAcentral.
GCAGUCUGCAACUCGAGUGCAUGAAGCUGGAAUCGCUAGUAAUCGCGGAUCAGAAUGCCGCGGUGAAUACGUUCCCGGGUCUUGUACACACCGCCCGUCACACCAUGGGAGCCGACAACGCCCGAAGUCAGUGACCUAACCGAGAGGGAGGAGCUGCCGAAGGCGGGGUUGGUAACUGGGGUGAAGUCGUAACAAGGUAAC